This 253-nucleotide ribosomal RNA is filed under the name uncultured bacterium. Its description in RNAcentral is "partial 16S ribosomal RNA". It matches the Rfam family "Bacterial small subunit ribosomal RNA", at positions 524 to 776 of the family's 1533-position model. The record is from RNAcentral.
UCCGUAGGUGGCAAGCGUUGUCCGGAAUUAUUGGGCGUAAAGCGCGCGCAGGCGGCCUUUUAAGUCUGAUGUGAAAGCCCCCGGCUCAACCGGGGAGGGUCAUUGGAAACUGGAAGGCUUGAGUGCAGAAGAGAAGAGCGGAAUUCCACGUGUAGCGGUGAAAUGCGUAGAGAUGUGGAGGAACACCAGUGGCGAAGGCGGCUCUUUGGUCUGUAACUGACGCUGAGGCGCGAAAGCGUGGGGAGAGAACAGG